Molecule: long non-coding RNA, 393 nt
Filed under: Rattus norvegicus (Norway rat)
Lineage: Eukaryota; Metazoa; Chordata; Mammalia; Rodentia; Muridae
Description: long non-coding RNA NONRATT000329
Source: RNAcentral
CGAUGUGGUGCUGCCGCGUUCUCUUCGGGCCGGGGCCUAAGCCGCGCCAGGCGAGGGACGGACAUUCAUGGCGAAUGGUCAUUCAGCGCGAAUGGCAACCGCUCUUCUCGUUCUGCCAGCGGGCCCCUCUUCUCUCCUCCCCAUUCCUUUGCAGGGUGGUGUGUGGAAGUCAGGGGUGCGGCUGUCAGGCACGAGCACUGACCCGCGCACACUUGUUGCUGUGGUUCGCGGUGUCCCUGUGGACGUGUCCAGGGUGCUUGCCCCCACACCGUUCACUGCUUCGCGGCCCUCUUCCCCCGUGCCGGGGGGAAGGUGGUAGACCCGCUGCGGUGCAUACCCUUCCCGAAUGGUGUGUGCACGCGCCCUGUUUUGUGUGAGCCUUGCGGUGCUCCU